RNAcentral lists this long non-coding RNA (531 nucleotides) under Homo sapiens (human). Its description in RNAcentral is "non-protein coding lnc-HIST1H2BI-2:5". Lineage: Eukaryota; Metazoa; Chordata; Mammalia; Primates; Hominidae. The record is from RNAcentral.
GGCAUCUGAGCGCCGGCUCCGCGGAGGCGUCUCUUGCAAUUGCUGGGAAAUAGGAAUGAGAGUUUUAAGGCUGUUUUAACAACCAAAUCAGAUUAAAUAAAUUAACAUGUUUAAAUUGUUAUCAAUUGUUCCUUCAGUUGCUUUAGGACGAUUGGAGAGGAGCCUCGGUCCACAAGACCGGAAGCCUGAGGAGUGCAGCUUUGUCCCCAAGGUCACAGUGACUGGCUUUCUGCUGCCGGCUGUAAAGCACAUGCGGACCGAAACCCCCCUUCGGAAGUGUUUGAAAACUGCAAGAUUUCACCCUCUCCAUCACCAAGCCAAGGGAAACAUAACCAAAAGGGUUUUCUUCCCGAUGGCGAAGGCAUGAUAGCAAAGAAUGCCAAAAGGAGGAGAGAGACUUUCCAGACUGGGAAGUGCCAAAAGGGAGAAAACUGAAAAAGAUAGGGAAAUCUGUGGACAUCCUGAGUCUUAAAUGGUCACCGUGAUUUAGGAACUUGUCCCAAAUCCACCAAAUAAAAAUAUAUGCACCCU